RNAcentral lists this ribosomal RNA (501 nucleotides) under uncultured bacterium. Its description in RNAcentral is "partial 16S ribosomal RNA". It matches the Rfam family "Bacterial small subunit ribosomal RNA", at positions 899 to 1397 of the family's 1533-position model. The record is from RNAcentral.
ACUCAAAUGAAUUGACGGGGGCCCGCACAAGCGGUGGAGCAUGUGCAUUAAUUCGUCACUAACCGAAGAACCUUACCAGGGUUUGACAUCUCUGGACAUGCCAUGAAAGUGGUCCUUCCCCGCAAGGGGACCAGAAGACAGGUGUUGCAUGGUUGUCGUCAGCUCGUGUCGUGAGAUGUUGGGUUAAGUCCCGCAACGAGCGCAACCCUCACCCAAUGUUGCCAGCGUUAAGUCGGGCACUCUUUGGGAACUGCCCAUGUAAGUGGGAGGAAGGUGGGGAUGACGUCAAAUCGGCAUGGCCCUUACAUCCUGGGCUUGACACAUGCUACAAUGGCCGUUAAACAAAGCGAAGCAAGACCGCGAGGUGGAGCCAAUCGCAAAAAUACGGUCUCAGUUCGGAUUGCAGGCUGCAACUCGCCUGCAUGAAGUCGGAAUCGCUAGUAACCGCAGGUCAGCUAAACUGCGGUGAAUACGUUCCCGGGCCUUGUACACACCGCCCGU